This 371-nucleotide ribosomal RNA is filed under the name uncultured bacterium. RNAcentral describes it as "bacterial SSU rRNA". It matches the Rfam family "Bacterial small subunit ribosomal RNA", at positions 335 to 699 of the family's 1533-position model. The record is from RNAcentral.
ACUCCUACGGGAGGCAGCAGUGGGAAUAUUGCACAAUGGGCGCAAGCCUGAUGCAGCCAUGCCGCGUGUAUGAAGAAGGCCUUCGGGUUGUAAAGUACUUUCAGCAGUGAGGAAGGCGGGGUACGUUAAAUAGCGUGCUCGUUUGACGUUAGCUGCAGAAGAAGCACCGGCUAACUCCGUGCCAGCAGCCGCGGUAAUACGGAGGGUGCGAGCGUUAAUCGGAAUUACUGGGCGUAAAGCGCAUGCAGGUGGUUUGUUAAGUCAGAUGUGAAAGCCCGGGGCUCAACCUCGGAAUAGCAUUUGAAACUGGCAGACUAGAGUACUUAGAGGGGGUAGAAUUUCAGGUGUAGCGGUGAAAUGCGUAGAGAUCU